UGAGUUUAUGUGUAUAGCGUUUGAAAAUUCAUCGAGAAAGUCACGGAUCUUGAAACUUUUUGCGCAAUGAAAAUUGUAUCGGUUGGUCUGAAAUUGAAACUCUCAACCCAAAAACAAACCGUGAUGGUCGCGGAUUUCAAAUUGGAUAACUGACUUGGCUAGAAUGGAGCCGCAAAGUUCUAAAGGUUGAAAUUUGCUAGUUAAAUUCGCAAAAUGAAGACGGCAACUACCACUUUCACAAAUGUGAAGCCCAUGGGCAGAUGAACUUUUUGAGACUAGACUCACAUCCAGAUCCAGCCAUGGUUAGAGGAGAGAGAAACGAUUGAAGGAAGUUCGG
RNAcentral lists this unclassified non-coding RNA (337 nucleotides) under Hevea brasiliensis (rubber tree). The record is from RNAcentral. Lineage: Eukaryota; Viridiplantae; Streptophyta; Magnoliopsida; Malpighiales; Euphorbiaceae.